AUACCCAAGGAGUUUGCAACUACGUACAUAAAUAACAUUACGGUUCAGACAUGUAUACUUGACAAGUAACUGCCAUUAUUCUAUAGAGUUUGUUUCCCAAUGAACCUAAAAAUAAUUAUAUACAAACAGGCAGAAAUUUUAUUAUUAGCCAAUCAGAACUUUUUCCUACAUGUUUAUUUACUAAAAAGUUGAAACUUUAGGCUUAUAUAUACUCAUCCAACCUUCAAUUGUAUGAUAUCAUCCAUAGUUCUGUAUUUUCUACCAUUCUUAUUCUACCCCCUUUCUAGAGAUAUCAAAAUCUCUCCCUUCAGAAUCAGAUCUGUCUCUCCAUUUGAUUUCUCUCUGCAUCAUAUAAUAUUACUCAAAUCAACAUCUUUUAUAAUUCAUAUAACUUAGAUUGUGGAUAACACAUAAUUCAAUUGCUUUCUUUAGAAUCGAUCUUGCUAGUUUUUCUCUCAAUCUAGGGUGCUAGGUCCAUGCAUAUAUAUCAUCCAUUAUAAGCAUUUAUACAUAUGUGUAGCUAUAGAUGCAUUUAACAUUGGUUUGAUUUUCCAGUGGUUGUUGCAAGAUAAAUACCAAGAGAGUUUCCUUAAGUCCAUUCACAUGUUGUGAUUUGAUCCAAUUAGCUCCAGACUCAUUCACUCACUUACCGAGUCACUAAAACAGGAAUGAACUCGUUACAUGAGUAAAUGAUGCGGGAGACUUAUUGGAUCUUAGAUUCAUUGCGAUUGGACUGAAGGGAACUCCCUUUAUUCUAUUUAUUCCAACACAUUUUUGUUUGUUAAACAUUUUAACAGCUGUUCUUCAUACACUCCAUCUUCAAGCUGGCGUGUCACCAAUCG
RNAcentral lists this small RNA (842 nucleotides) under Brassica rapa subsp. pekinensis (Chinese cabbage). RNAcentral's name for it is "precursor microRNA miR319a2". The stretch from base 570 to 760 matches the Rfam family "MIR159 microRNA precursor family". Lineage: Eukaryota; Viridiplantae; Streptophyta; Magnoliopsida; Brassicales; Brassicaceae. The record is from RNAcentral.